GCCUGGGUGGCUCAGUCGGUUGAGCAUCUGACUUUGGCUCAGGUCAUGAUCUCAGGGUCUGUGAGUUCAAGCCCUGCGUCGGGCU
Transfer RNA from Felis catus (domestic cat), 85 nucleotides. It matches the Rfam family "tRNA". From Rfam's summary of the family: Transfer RNA (tRNA) molecules are approximately 80 nucleotides in length. Their secondary structure includes four short double-helical elements and three loops (D, anti-codon, and T loops). Further hydrogen bonds mediate the characteristic L-shaped molecular structure. tRNAs have two regions of fundamental functional importance: the anti-codon, which is responsible for specific mRNA codon recognition, and the 3' end, to which the tRNAs corresponding amino acid is attached (by aminoacyl-tRNA synthetases). tRNAs cope with the degeneracy of the genetic code in two manners: having more than one tRNA (with a specific anti-codon) for a particular amino acid; and 'wobble' base-pairing, i.e. permitting non-standard base-pairing at the 3rd anti-codon position. The record is from Rfam. Lineage: Eukaryota; Metazoa; Chordata; Mammalia; Carnivora; Felidae.